RNAcentral lists this ribosomal RNA (530 nucleotides) under uncultured Pichia. RNAcentral describes it as "eukaryotic LSU rRNA". It matches the Rfam family "Eukaryotic large subunit ribosomal RNA", at positions 100 to 656 of the family's 3401-position model. The record is from RNAcentral. Lineage: Eukaryota; Fungi; Ascomycota; Saccharomycetes; Saccharomycetales; Saccharomycetaceae.
GGCAAGAGCUCAGAUUUGAAAUCGUGUUUCGGCACGAGUUGUAGAGUGUAGGCGGGAGUCUCUGUGGAGCGCGGUGUCCAAGUCCCUUGGAACAGGGUGCCUGAGAGGGUGAGAGCCCCGUAGGGUGCUGCGCGAAGCUUUUGAGGCCCUGCUGACGAGUCGAGUUGUUUGGGAAUGCAGCUCCAAGCGGGUGGUAAAUUCCAUCUAAGGCUAAAUAUUGGCGAGAGACCGAUAGCGAACAAGUACUGUGAAGGAAAGAUGAAAAGCACUUUGAAAAGAGAGUGAAACAGCACGUGAAAUUGUUGAAAGGGAAGGGUAUUGGGCUCGACAUGGGGGGUGCGCACCGCUGUCUCUUGUAGGCGGCGCUCUGGGCGCCCUCUGGGCCAGCAUCGGUUCCUGCUGCGGGAGAAGGGGCUCCGGAAAGUGGCUCUUCGGAGUGUUAUAGCCGGGGCCAGAUGCCGCGUGUGGGGACCGAGGACUGCGGCUUCUGUCUCGGAUGCUGGCAUAACGGCGCAAUACCGCCCGUCUUG